UUAUCCUUUCCACUCUCCGCGCCCCCUAGUUCCCUCUCGCCCGCCUCCAAUCCACCACUUCCUCGUCAAUGUAGCAACGGAAGGAGCUCCCCCUCAUCUUCAGUUUUGGGAUGAGGAGAAGCAGAAGAAGCCAGAUCCCCUGGCUCCCGUUUGGAACUUGUAUGACGUGUCCAUGGGCGAGGGCCAGAAGCAGGACGUGGAAAAGGACGUGCCGAGGCCCGCAAUGCCGCCGACGCAUGGCCGGCCUGGGACGAGAGCGUCGAGGCGAGUUUUCGGGCCAUCGACGCCAGUAUUCCAUGCCGCCCCCGCUGGGGAAUCCAGCCGUGGCGGCAACUGAACGGGGACUGUUGGACUAAGCUUCACGCACAGUUGUUGAUGCUUCACGUAAGAAUGGCGUCAAGAUGAUGGAUCUGUUUACUUUUGCCACCCAGGAAGAAUUUGAAGUGAAGUUCGGCGCCUUUUGUUGUUGUUUGUGUGUUUGGGCGGUUUGAUCUGGGUGGAUGUGCGCUUGUUCAAUUUGUGCUCGGGCCAAGACUUUACUUCGUUCGUCUGAGUUUGUGUGUACCGUGUGUAACCCCAACUGGGAAGUUAUGUUUUACCUAGCGAACCAAGUUAAUGUAUUUGUAUUAGUAGAAGGCAUGCAUGAACAUGAUCUGUGGUGACAGUAACUUAUGACGGUAGACUUCAGUGGUUGAAUUCGAAGCCUGAGUGUUGCGGUAGCAAGUGCACAGCCGCCAACAUAAUGCAGCCGUGCUUAUCGCCGGCCACGGCAUAAUAACGGUA
Triticum aestivum (bread wheat) is the source of this 783-nucleotide long non-coding RNA. RefSeq lists it as uncharacterized. The transcript has 2 exons. Lineage: Eukaryota; Viridiplantae; Streptophyta; Magnoliopsida; Poales; Poaceae. The record is from RefSeq and is a predicted model, not a curated record.